CGCCAGCCUGACGGAGCCAGACCGCGUGGGGGAGGAAGGCCCUUGGGUUGUAAACCCCUUUUCUCAGGGAAGAAGUUCUGACGGUACCUGAGGAAUCAGCCUCGGCUAACUCCGUGCCAGCAGCCGCGGUAAUACGGAGGAGGCAAGCGUUAUCCGGAAUUAUUGGGCGUAAAGCGUCCGCAGGGGGCGCAUCAAGUCUGCUGUUAAAGGCUGGAGCUCAACUCCGGUAGAGCAGUGGAAACUGGUGCGCUAGAGGGCGACAGGGGUAGAGGGAAUUCCCAGUGUAGCGGUGAAAUGCGUAGAGAUUGGGAAGAACACCGGUGGCGAAAGCGCUCUACUGGGUCGCACCUGACCCUCAGGGACGAAAGCUAAGGGAGCG
Molecule: ribosomal RNA, 379 nt
Filed under: uncultured cyanobacterium
Lineage: Bacteria; Bacillati; Cyanobacteriota
Description: bacterial SSU rRNA
Rfam family: Bacterial small subunit ribosomal RNA
Source: RNAcentral